AGAUGGCGACCGGCGCACGGGUGAGUAACACGCAUCCAACCUGCCGAUAACUCCGGAAUAGCCUUUCGAAAGAAAGAUUAAUACCGGAUGGCAUACGAAUAUCGCAUGAUAUUUUUAUUAAAGAAUUUCGGUUAUCGAUGGGGAUGCGUUCCAUUAGUUUGUUGGCGGGGUAACGGCCCACCAAGACUACGAUGGAUAGGGGUUCUGAGAGGAAGGUCCCCCACAUUGGAACUGAGACACGGUCCAA
Molecule: ribosomal RNA, 247 nt
Filed under: uncultured bacterium
Lineage: Bacteria
Description: partial 16S ribosomal RNA
Rfam family: Bacterial small subunit ribosomal RNA
Source: RNAcentral